UGGAGACCGAACUCCUAAGGUGAGAGGUGUAGCCAAGAGUAACCGGACAAGGCCGCGGAUGAUGGCCGUGUGAGUCUGGCCGGUUUGGAUCGAUUGGCUACUCCUUACUCUGACUUCUUCUACUCUGUUUCUUCUUAUAUGUUGUGCUAUGGAAUGUUUUAUGUUGUUACAGGAAAGGAUUCAUUGAUCCUAAGGCCUUGGCCUGAUCCAAUUCCCAUGAAAGUCCCUUGUUCUUGUGUGGGCUGUUCAUGGCCGAGAUCACUAUGAUCUGAGCCGAUUCUUUUGAAUCUGUUUAUGGGAAUAUUUUUCUUCUGAAUUAUCAUGAAUUAUC
RNAcentral lists this long non-coding RNA (331 nucleotides) under Brassica napus (rape). RNAcentral describes it as "long non-coding RNA (BNAP_LNC023621)". Lineage: Eukaryota; Viridiplantae; Streptophyta; Magnoliopsida; Brassicales; Brassicaceae. The record is from RNAcentral.